Long non-coding RNA from Zonotrichia leucophrys gambelii, 630 nucleotides. RefSeq lists it as uncharacterized. NCBI's taxonomy places the organism in Eukaryota, Metazoa, Chordata, Aves, Passeriformes, Passerellidae. The record is from RefSeq and is a predicted model, not a curated record. The transcript is spliced from 3 exons.
GUCAGUUGGCUGCUGCAAGAAGAAGGAAGUGUCAGUGCUUAGAGGAGCUGCCUAUGAGAAAUGUCAAGGAGCUGCAAGAAAAGAAGUUGGAGGCCUGCUGAGAAGUAUAAAACUGGAUCAAAGGGCACACCUUCAGGCAUUGUGAGUCUAAUGAGUAAAGCAAGCAGUCACCACCAUUUUGGGGUGUUUCAGCUCCAGCAGGAUCUUAGCAGGUGACACAAAAUCCAAGUGUGCUUGUGAGAGAGAAGAACAAAGGCCUGAAGGUUAAAUCUGUUCAGUCCUGUGCCUAAUACAGCUUUUCACUGCAGUGCCUAGGUAGGAACUAGAGCUAAGGUGUCCUGCCAAAGACAUCUUUUGCUUGUUUGUUUUGCUUUGGUGAAUAUGAAGUGCAAUUAAGAAAAUCAGUUUUUUAUGCAGGAAUGUGAGAUGUGGCACGUAUCUGCUAUUGAGUUGCCUCCAAAUGAACCUUUUUCCAUUUAAGAGAUGCUUAAUCCCACUCAUGAUUAAGAUCUUUGCCAUAGAUUUCAGAAUCUGUUUGUAUCAAGACAUGUUAAAAUCCAAUUUGUAUUUAGUAAUGAAGGAAAUACCAAGAAUUACAAACAAGCCGUUGUAAACCCCUUUCUGCAUCCA